CGGGACCUCAGGUCAGGCGGGGCUACCCGCUGAGUUU
This 37-nucleotide ribosomal RNA is filed under the name Swartzia acutifolia. RNAcentral describes it as "partial 26S ribosomal RNA". The record is from RNAcentral. Lineage: Eukaryota; Viridiplantae; Streptophyta; Magnoliopsida; Fabales; Fabaceae.